GGUCUGUCCAGGGUUCGGAAGAUAUUUUGAUAAUCACAGAACAUGAACUAGGGUGCUUAGAGUUAUAGUCCUCAAAGUGGCCACAUCCAAGCUAAAAUGCUUUCAGGAUCAUGAGAACCACCUCUCCUGAUUCUCCGUCUUGCCGUCUCAGGGCAGGGGAGACAUUGCCAUCACGAUUCACAUGGGAAGAUGUCUGAGGUGCCAUCAUCCCUUCUCCCGGGGCAAUGGUUUUCUAUAGAGGCCUUGAUCAGGUAACAGGAGAUCCUGGUUAUUUAAUAAAUUUCAUGCAACUUCCUACCACACAUUCCAAAGCACACCAAAGCCACUCAAACACGAGAAAUGAUUGUACGCCAUAGGAAAGGCGGCUGUCACGAAGUCAAGUCCCAGAGAGGCGAUUUCUACCAAGAAGAGAUAACAGCCUAAUCCUGGGGCUGCUGCGAAUGACACUGCCACAGCUCCAGGCACCUGCCAGCCAAGGACAGAUGGCGACCACUGCCACCCACAGGCUGUCCCAGGGAGAAUUUAUGGUCUGGCCAAAAAGAGAGCUUCCUAAUGAGGCAUCCUGGAAACUGAUGGAAACUGUUCUUAUCCAUCUCCCCCACCUCUUGUGCCCCAUCAACUCAGAGUGGUCCAGAAGCCCAAAGCUGAGAGGACAAAGCUCACUGGGGUAAGUUAACAUCACUCCAGAUCAGCCCCAGUGAAGACAGGGAGAAUUGCCU
RNAcentral lists this long non-coding RNA (719 nucleotides) under Rhinopithecus bieti (black snub-nosed monkey). RNAcentral's name for it is "lncRNA (ENSRBIG00000045059.1)". Lineage: Eukaryota; Metazoa; Chordata; Mammalia; Primates; Cercopithecidae. The record is from RNAcentral.